Molecule: ribosomal RNA, 238 nt
Filed under: uncultured bacterium
Lineage: Bacteria
Description: partial 16S ribosomal RNA
Rfam family: Bacterial small subunit ribosomal RNA
Source: RNAcentral
UGGCGGAAGGGUGAGUAAGGCGAAGGUAACCAACCCCGCGGGUGGGCAUAGCCGAGGGAAACUUCGGGUAAUUCCCAGCGAUGUGACGACCUGGCAUCAGGGUGUCACCAAAGAUUUAUCGCCGUGGGACGGGCCUUCGUGGUAUUAGCUUGUUGGCGGGGUGACGGCCCACCAAGGCUGCGAUGCCUACCGGGCGUGCGAGCGUGGCCCGGCACACUGGGACUGAGACACUGCCCAG